This 252-nucleotide ribosomal RNA is filed under the name uncultured bacterium. RNAcentral's name for it is "partial 16S ribosomal RNA". It matches the Rfam family "Bacterial small subunit ribosomal RNA", at positions 524 to 776 of the family's 1533-position model. The record is from RNAcentral.
UACGAAGGGUGCAAACGUUGCUCGGAAUCAUUGGGCGUAAAGCGCACGUAGGCGGCCCUGCAAGUCGGAUGUGAAAUCCCACGGCUCAACCGUGGACGUGCAUUCGAAACUGCUUGGCUCGAGUAUGGAAGAGGGUCGCGGAAUUCCCGGUGUAGAGGUGAAAUUCGUAGAUAUCGGGAGGAACACCAGUGGCGAAGGCGGCGCCUGGGCCAAUACUGACGCUGAGGUGCGAAAGCUAGGGGAGCGAACGGG